RNAcentral lists this ribosomal RNA (425 nucleotides) under Juxtastenopus spinulatus. Its description in RNAcentral is "partial 16S ribosomal RNA". The stretch from base 1 to 204 matches the Rfam family "Archaeal large subunit ribosomal RNA", at positions 1889 to 2143 of the family's 2987-position model. The record is from RNAcentral. Lineage: Eukaryota; Metazoa; Arthropoda; Malacostraca; Decapoda; Stenopodidae.
CGCCUGUUUAUCAAAAACAUGUCCGUAUGAAAAUAGUAUAAGGUCUAACCUGCCCGUUGAAUAUUGAAAGGCCGCGGUAAUUUGACCGUGCAAAGGUAGCAUAAUCAUUAGCUUUUUAAUUGAAAGCUUGUAUGAAAGGUUGAAUGAAAAAUAAGCUGUCUUAUUUAUAAAAAUUGAAUUUAACUUUUAAGUGAAAAGGCUUAAAUAAUAGAAAGGGACGAUAAGACCCUAUAAAACUUUAUAUAAAAUGAAUUUUUUAUUAUAUUUAUUUGUUUAGUAAGAAAUAAUUUAUUAAUAUUUUAUUGGGGCGAUAGGAAUAUAAGUAAGUAACUGUUCUUUUUUAAAACAAAUAUAAUUGGUUAAUAAGAUCCUUGUUUAGAGAUUAGAAGGUAAAGUUACUUUAGGGAUAACAGCGUAAUUUUUUU